AGUGAACGCUGGCGGUAGGCCUAACACAUGCAAGUCGAACGGCAGCACAGUAAGAGCUUGCUCUUACGGGUGGCGAGUGGCGGACGGGUGAGGAAUACAUCGGAAUCUACUUUUUCGUGGGGGUUAACGUAGGGAAACUUACGCUAAUACCGCAUACGACCUACGGGUGAAAGCAGGGGAUCUUCGGACUUUGCGCGAUUGAAUGAGCCGAUGUCGGAUUAGCUAGUUGGCGGGGUAAAGGCCCACCAAGGCGACGAUCCGUAGCUGGUCUGAGAGGAUGAUCAGCCACACUGGAACUGAGACACGGUCCAGACUCCUACGGGAGGCAGCAGUGGGGAAUAUUGGACAAUGGGCGCAAGCCUGAUCCAGCCAUACCGCGUGGGUGAAGAAGGCCUUCGGGUUGUAAAGCCCUUUUGUUGGGAAAGAAAAGCAGCAGGUUAAUACCCCGCUGUUCUGACGGUACCCAAAGAAUAAGCACCGGCUAACUUCGUG
RNAcentral lists this ribosomal RNA (492 nucleotides) under uncultured bacterium. RNAcentral's name for it is "partial 16S ribosomal RNA". It matches the Rfam family "Bacterial small subunit ribosomal RNA", at positions 29 to 507 of the family's 1533-position model. The record is from RNAcentral.